RNAcentral lists this long non-coding RNA (1079 nucleotides) under Marmota monax (woodchuck). Lineage: Eukaryota; Metazoa; Chordata; Mammalia; Rodentia; Sciuridae. The record is from RNAcentral.
GGAUGCAGUGUUGGAAGCUGGGCUUACACUGUCAGGCUCUGUCUUUCAGGACAGAGUCUUGGGAGCUGACAUGUUCACCCUCUGCCCACAUAUGCACAGAGAAGCAUCAAGACCUGGCCUGCUUAGGGAAGAAGAGAAGCAGCUUGCUAAGGAGUGCCCCUCUUUGGGAUUUCGCUCCUCCCUGAUUCUACUUUCCCAUUGCCUCCUAAAAUACUUCUGUACCAUCAUUUAACUUACUCUUCACUUCUUUAAGCUUUAAGUUGAGCUGGUUUUUUGUUACUCAGAACCAAGGAGACUUAACUAAGACAUAGAUCCUUCUGCCUGGACCUAUUUCUGGUGCUGAAGGUUCCUGCAUGUCUUUUCCUUCUUCCUUCACACUCUCCCUCCCUCCUUCCUUUUGGCUCCCUCCCCCUUGUUCUCUCUUUCCCUCUCUCUGUACUUCCCUCUCUUUCUCUCUCUCCCUCAGGACUGUAUUAGGAUGAUGCAUUCAGGUUACAGGUUACGGAGAAUCCCUGUUCUAACCCAAAGCCAUUGUCUUGCCAGGAUCCCAGAGCUACAAACUCUCAGCUUUGAAGGAAAAUUAAGCUGAAGGGUCAUACCUCCCACAUUAUAGUCCAUGAUCUAUUGUCAUUAGAAAAUGAGCAAAGUUGGGCUGGGGUUGUGGCUCAGCGGUAGAGCGCUCACCUUGCACAUGCAGAACCCUGGGUUGGAUCCUUGGCACCACAUAAAAAUAAAUAAGUGAAAUAAAGGUAUUGUGUCCAACUACAACUAAAAAAUAAGUAUUAAAAAAAAGAAAGAAAAUAAGCAAAAGUCAUUGUUCAUCCCUAGAGACAGCCUCCUCUUACUUAAGUACCUCUGUCUAGUUCCAUUUAUGAAGCCUCAACAGUUUCUUUCACUGAAAAGGGAAUCACAAGUACUCAGAAGACAAGGGGGAACAAGUGGGUAUUGUGGCCUUUUCUAUGAGUUUCUUCAUCUUUCUUCAAGACUCUUUAAUAUAGAAGAAGAGAGACUUAACAGUCCCUCCACCUGUCUGUCAAGGAAAGUUAAAUGCACUGGAUUCAUUUGAAUCUAUUUGAAAC